AAAAAUACUUGGCAAACGAAUUUAUUCAAAGGACACAAAAUUGUGUCAGCUUUAUCACAUUGGUCUUCAUCUUACUUAUUACUCAGCACCUGAACCCACAUAAUGAGUCGAAUCGAUGAUUUUCCCUACAGGUUGUUUUGUCACAUUAAAACAACAAUAGAAUAAUCUUUCCACUGGUGAACAAUAUCCAUCUUGAUAGCCUUCCACUUUGCAUCGUUCCAUGCAAACAGCAGGACGGCAGAUUGCCACCCUAGCUCUGUGCUUGCAUCCGAGUCUAGAUUCACCUACAUAACCAAAAUAAAAUUUAUUACACAUCUGUUCACAAGUAGAAUGUAUCAUAAGGCAACUAUAUAAUACUCACUCCGUCCCAAAAUAAGUGUCGCUGAUUUAGUACAAAGUCGUACUAAAUCAGCGACAAUUUUUUGGGAUGGAGGGAGUAUAAUUUUUCAGGAGCAUGUUGUCCUAUACUUACUGCAAGACACCAGGACUGCUAAUAUAAAGAUGGAUGUAGCAGUGGUGGCAAUCUUGUAAGUCAUGAGGGUGUUAAUUGCUUUCAAUAUAGAGGAGCAAGUCUAGCUUUGAGGGCUUCUGUUCACAUGUUCGUAUAUUUUUAUAUG
RNAcentral lists this long non-coding RNA (617 nucleotides) under Triticum aestivum (bread wheat). RNAcentral's name for it is "long non-coding RNA (TAES_LNC012851)". Lineage: Eukaryota; Viridiplantae; Streptophyta; Magnoliopsida; Poales; Poaceae. The record is from RNAcentral.